GAUGAAGAACGCAGCGAAAUGCGAUAAGUAAUGUGAAUUGCAGAAUUCGGUGAAUCAUCGAGUCUUUGAACGCACAUUGCGCCCCCCGGUAUUCCGGGGGGCAUGCCUGUCCGAGCGUCAUUGCUGCCCUCAAGCACGGCUUGUGUGUUGGGCCCCGCCCCCCGGCUCCCGGGGGGCGGGCCCGAAAGGCAGCGGCGGCACCGCGUCCGGUCCUCGAGCGUAUGGGGCUUCGUCACCCGCUCCGUAGGCCCGGCCGGCGCCCGCCGGCGACCCCCCUCAAUCUUUUCAGGUUGACCUCGGAUCAGGUAGGGAUACCCGCUGAACUUAAGCAUAUCAAUAACGGAGGA
This 347-nucleotide unclassified non-coding RNA is filed under the name soil metagenome. RNAcentral describes it as "partial contains 5.8S ribosomal RNA, internal transcribed spacer 2, and large subunit ribosomal RNA". The stretch from base 1 to 120 matches the Rfam family "5.8S ribosomal RNA", at positions 35 to 154 of the family's 154-position model. The record is from RNAcentral.